GGUUAAGCGACUAAGCGUACACGGUGGAUGCCCUGGCAGUCAGAGGCGAUGAAGGACGUGCUAAUCUGCGAAAAGCGUCGGUAAGGUGAUAUGAACCGUUACAGCCGGCGAUGUCCGAAUGGGGAAACCCAGUGCAAUUCGUUGCACUAUCGUUAACUGAAUACAUAGGUUAACGAGGCGAACCGGGGGAACUGAAACAUCUAAGUACCCCGAGGAAAAGAAAUCAACCGAGAUUCCCCCAGUAGCGGCGAGCGAACGGGGAGCAGCCCGGAGUCUGAAUCAGCUUGUGUGUUAGUGGAAGCGUCUGGAAAGUCGCAGGGUACAGGGUGAUACUCCCGUACACUAAAACACACAGGCUGUGAACUCGAAGAGUAGGGCGGGACACGUGGUAUCCUGUCUGAAUAUGGGGGGACCAUCCUCCAAGGCUAAAUACUCCUGACUGACCGAUAGUGAACCAGUACCGUGAGGGAAAGGCGAAAAGAACCCCGGCGAGGGGAGUGAAAAAGAACCUGAAACCGUGUACGUACAAGCAGUAGGAGCCCACUAGUUGGGUGACUGCGUACCUUUUGUAUAAUGGGUCAGCGACUUAUAUUCUGUAGCAAGGUUAACCGUAUAGGGGAGCCGCAGGGAAACCGAGUCUUAACUGGGCGUUAAGUUGCAGGGUAUAGACCCGAAACCCGGUGAUCUAGCCAUGGGCAGGUUGAAGGUUGGGUAACACUAACUGGAGGACCGAACCGACUAAUGUUGAAAAAUUAGCGGAUGACUUGUGGCUGGGGGUGAAAGGCCAAUCAAACCGGGAGAUAGCUGGUUCUCCCCGAAAGCUAUUUAGGUAGCGCCUCGUGAACUCAUCUUCGGGGGUAGAGCACUGUUUCGGCUAGGGGGUCAUCCCGACUUACCAACCCGAUGCAAACUACGAAUACCGAAGAAUGUUAUCACGGGAGACACACGGCGGGUGCUAACGUCCGUCGUGAAGAGGGAAACAACCCAGACCGCCAGCUAAGGUCCCAAAGUCAUGGUUAAGUGGGAAACGAUGUGGGAAGGCCCAGACAGCCAGGAUGUUGGCUUAGAAGCAGCCAUCAUUUAAAGAAAGCGUAAUAGCUCACUGGUCGAGUCGGCCUGCGCGGAAGAUGUAACGGGGCUAAACCAUGCACCGAAGCUGCGGCAGCGACACUAUGUGUUGUUGGGUAGGGGAGCGUUCUGUAAGCCGUUGAAGGUGGCCUGUGAGGGUUGCUGGAGGUAUCAGAAGUGCGAAUGCUGACAUAAGUAACGAUAAUGCGGGUGAAAAACCCGCACGCCGGAAGACCAAGGGUUCCUGUCCAACGUUAAUCGGGGCAGGGUGAGUCGACCCCUAAGGCGAGGCCGAAAGGCGUAGUCGAUGGGAAACAGGUUAAUAUUCCUGUACUUGGUGUUACUGCGAAGGGGGGACGGAGAAGGCUAUGUUGGCCGGGCGACGGUUGUCCCGGUUUAAGCAUGUAGGCGGAUGUUCCAGGUAAAUCCGGAACGUUACUAACGCUGAGGUGUGAUGACGAGGCACUACGGUGCUGAAGUGACAAAUGCCCUGCUUCCAGGAAAAGCCUCUAAGCAUCAGGUAACAUCAAAUCGUACCCCAAACCGACACAGGUGGUCAGGUAGAGAAUACCAAGGCGCUUGAGAGAACUCGGGUGAAGGAACUAGGCAAAAUGGUGCCGUAACUUCGGGAGAAGGCACGCUGAUGGUAAGUGAAGUGACUUGCUCAUGGAGCUGAAAUCAGUCGAAGAUACCAGCUGGCUGCAACUGUUUAUUAAAAACACAGCACUGUGCAAACACGAAAGUGGACGUAUACGGUGUGACGCCUGCCCGGUGCCGGAAGGUUAAUUGAUGGGGUUAUCCUCACGGAGAAGCUCUUGAUCGAAGCCCCGGUAAACGGCGGCCGUAACUAUAACGGUCCUAAGGUAGCGAAAUUCCUUGUCGGGUAAGUUCCGACCUGCACGAAUGGCGUAAUGAUGGCCAGGCUGUCUCCACCCGAGACUCAGUGAAAUUGAACUCGCUGUGAAGAUGCAGUGUACCCGCGGCAAGACGGAAAGACCCCGUGAACCUUUACUAUAGCUUGACACUGAACACUGGUCCUUGAUGUGUAGGAUAGGUGGGAGGCUUUGAAGUGUGGACGCCAGUCUGCAUGGAGCCAUCCUUGAAAUACCACCCUUUAAUGGCUGGUGUUCUAACGUGGGCCCGUGAUCCGGGUUGCGGACAGUGUCUGGUGGGUAGUUUGACUGGGGCGGUCUCCUCCUAAAGAGUAACGGAGGAGCACGAAGGUCAGCUAAUCCUGGUCGGACAUCAGGAGGUUAGUGCAAUGGCAUAAGCUGGCUUGACUGCGAGCGUGACGGCGCGAGCAGGUGCGAAAGCAGGUCAUAGUGAUCCGGUGGUUCUGAAUGGAAGGGCCAUCGCUCAACGGAUAAAAGGUACUCCGGGGAUAACAGGCUGAUACCGCCCAAGAGUUCAUAUCGACGGCGGUGUUUGGCACCUCGAUGUCGGCUCAUCACAUCCUGGGGCUGAAGUAGGUCCCAAGGGUAUGGCUGUUCGCCAUUUAAAGUGGUACGCGAGCUGGGUUUAGAACGUCGUGAGACAGUUCGGUCCCUAUCUGCCGUGGGCGCUGGAGAAUUGAGGGGGGCUGCUCCUAGUACGAGAGGACCGGAGUGGACGCAUCACUGGUGUUCGGGUUGUCAUGCCAAUGGCAUUGCCCGGUAGCUAAAUGCGGAAGAGAUAAGUGCUGAAAGCAUCUAAGCACGAAACUUGCCCCGAGAUGAGUUCUCCCUGACUCCUUGAGAGUCCUGAAGGAACGUUGAAGACGACGACGUUGAUAGGCCGGGUGUGUAAGCGCAGCGAUGCGUUGAGCUAACCGGUACUAAUGAACCGUGAGGCUUAACCUU
Molecule: ribosomal RNA, 2906 nt
Filed under: Klebsiella oxytoca
Lineage: Bacteria; Pseudomonadati; Pseudomonadota; Gammaproteobacteria; Enterobacterales; Enterobacteriaceae
Description: 23S ribosomal RNA
Rfam family: Bacterial large subunit ribosomal RNA
Source: RNAcentral